Molecule: long non-coding RNA, 899 nt
Organism: Musca domestica (house fly)
Lineage: Eukaryota; Metazoa; Arthropoda; Insecta; Diptera; Muscidae
Exons: 3
Source: RefSeq, a predicted model, not a curated record
UUACGAACAACACGGUAACCCUGUAUUCCAAUUGCCUAUCACACUGAACAUACCCUAUCAAAUUAUAUUUGACAAUUCAUAUUUGUGAAAAUUUAAAACUGAACCGGCAGCAGCAAAAACUCGGAAGGAAGAAAAUCGGGCAACGUGCAAUAACCGCGAAAAAACAACAAAAACCAUCAAUUUCAAAACGCAAUAAAAGUCAAUGGCUGGAACAAUUUUAAAAGCAGAAAAACAAGGAAUGACGUUUUUAAUACAUUUUUUCAAUCAACGAAACAGGAAAAUUCGGCGUUUUUGUUCUAAACGAAAGCUUUAGACCGAUGGUCCAAGGAGGAACAUGAAACAAUACGUAGAAGUUACAAAACAUUUGGCUGCGCAACAUCCUUUGGAGGAUGAAGUUUUUGCAUCCUUGGCUAAUGUUGUGGGCGAAAAAGAAAUUAUGAUGUUGGAAAAUGCCAUGGCCUCCUCCAUUGUUUGAUGGCUUCCAAAUUUCUGCACAAUUAUGCAAAGACUGUUCGUCGUAAUAUUUGUGAAAAGACAAUUGUCAUUAAAAAGAAAUGUUUCGGAAAAAAUGAAUUUUCCAAUACUGCUGGGUAAGCUAUUGGAAAACCUGGAUAAAUAAUAGGUGUUGGAUGAAAUCAGACACCAGAAACAAAAUCGCGAACCGGCAAUAAUAGCCAUUUUUGGAAUCUAUUGAAUUGCCAAGGCCAAUACAAUAUUUGCGAUAUGCAAGGAUGUCAUUGCCCACAAAUCGCUACCAUUUUUAAUACCAUGAAAAUUGCUUAACCAUUGCUCAAUUCAAUACAUUUGUUGCCUUGAUCAAGGAAAUGUUUGACCGGGGCGAAACAGAACAAAGGGAAAAUUGGAACAAUUAUCCACAAUACAAAAAUAUAACAAAUGAG